Molecule: long non-coding RNA, 456 nt
Filed under: Cricetulus griseus (Chinese hamster)
Lineage: Eukaryota; Metazoa; Chordata; Mammalia; Rodentia; Cricetidae
Description: lncRNA (ENSCGRG00015030463.1)
Source: RNAcentral
GAAAGGCCACAGAGUGACAGGCCAGAAACCUGACUCAGUGUUUAUUCACCAAACACUGAGAGGGCCCUCCUGAAUCUCUUCCCCACCCAAAGCCUCCCUACUUCGGGGGCAGGAGAGGGGACGGCACUGCCAUCUCCCAUGCUCAGCAUACCUGGUAUACUUGCCCCAGGAGAUUAGCCACAAGGAAAAGCAUGCAGGCUGCCCCCGACACAAGAGAAAAUCUGGUAAAACACAAGAAAGAACCACCACUGAGCAGCAUCAGCCAAGAGAAGAAUCCCACAUCCUGUGGAUUCCGCUUCUCUUGGCUUCCUUUUCACAUCAGCAGGGACCUACUCUCUACUUAGCCAAUGUUCCCUGUUUCCAAAGCAAAAGCCCAGGAGUGCUGAGGGGCUCCACUAAGAAGAGGGACAAGAAGUUUGACACACAUACCAGACAGCCUAGCUUGAGAGACCCAGG